This 291-nucleotide ribosomal RNA is filed under the name uncultured bacterium. RNAcentral describes it as "partial 16S ribosomal RNA". It matches the Rfam family "Bacterial small subunit ribosomal RNA", at positions 335 to 644 of the family's 1533-position model. The record is from RNAcentral.
CGUCCUACGGGACGCAGCAGUGGGGAAUAUUGCACAAUGGGCGAAAGCCUGAUGCAGCAACGCCGCGUGAGCGAUGAAGGCCUUCGGGUCGUAAAGCUCUGUCCUCAAGGAAGAUAAUGACGGUACUUGAGGAGGAAGCCCCGGCUAACUACGUGCCAGCAGCCGCGGUAAUACGUAGGGGGCUAGCGUUAUCCGGACUUACUGGGCGUAAAGGGUGCGUAGGUGGUUUCUUAAGUCAGAGGUGAAAGGCUACGGCUCAACCGUAGUAAGCCUUUGAAACUGGGAAGAUUG